GAUGAACGCUGGCGGCGUGCCUAAUACAUGCAAGUCGAGCGAACAGACGAGGAGCUUGCUCCUCUGACGUUAGCGGCGGACGGGUGAGUAACACGUGGAUAACCUACCUAUAAGACUGGGAUAACUUCGGGAAACCGGAGCUAAUACCGGAUAAUAUAUUGAACCGCAUGGUUCAAUAGUGAAAGACGGUUUUGCUGUCACUUAUAGAUGGAUCCGCGCCGCAUUAGCUAGUUGGUAAGGUAACGGCUUACCAAGGCAACGAUGCGUAGCCGACCUGAGAGGGGGAUCGGCCACACCGGAACUGAGACACGGUCCAGACUCCUACGGGAGGCAGCAGUAGGGAAUCUUCCGCAAUGGGCGAAAGCCUGACGGAGCAACGCCGCGUGAGUGAUGAAGGUCUUCGGAUCGUAAAACUCUGUUAUUAGGGAAGAACAAAUGUGUAAGUAACUAUGCACGUCUUGACGGUACCUAAUCAGAAAGCCACGGCUAACUACGUG
Molecule: ribosomal RNA, 497 nt
Filed under: uncultured bacterium
Lineage: Bacteria
Description: partial 16S ribosomal RNA
Rfam family: Bacterial small subunit ribosomal RNA
Source: RNAcentral